RNAcentral lists this ribosomal RNA (489 nucleotides) under uncultured bacterium. Its description in RNAcentral is "partial 16S ribosomal RNA". It matches the Rfam family "Bacterial small subunit ribosomal RNA", at positions 355 to 860 of the family's 1533-position model. The record is from RNAcentral.
UGGGGAAUAUUGCACAAUGGGCGAAAGCCUGAUGCAGCAACGCCGCGUGAGUGAUGAAGGUCUUCGGAUUGUAAAGCUCCGUCUUUUGGGACGAUAAUGACGGUACCAAAGGAGGAAGCCACGGCUAACUACGUGCCAGCAGCCGCGGUAAUACGUAGGUGGCGAGCGUUGUCCGGAUUUACUGGGCGUAAAGGGUGCGUAGGCGGAUGUUUAAGUGAGAUGUGAAAUACCCGGGCUUAACUUGGGUGCUGCAUUUCAAACUGGAUAUCUAGAGUGCAGGAGAGGAGAAUGGAAUUCCUAGUGUAGCGGUGAAAUGCGUAGAGAUUAGGAAGAACACCAGUGGCGAAGGCGAUUCUCUGGACUGUAACUGACGCUGAGGCACGAAAGCGUGGGUAGCAAACAGGAUUAGAUACCCUGGUAGUCCACGCCGUAAACCAUGAGUACUAGGUGUAGGAGGUAUCGACCCCUUCUGUGCCGCAGUAAACACAU